AGGCUUCUGACUGCUUAUUGCACCACAUGUGUUUUUCUUUGAAACAAACUUGCUUUGGCGGUGGGCCCAGCCUGCCGCCAGAGGUCUAAACUUACAACCAAUUUUUUAUCAACUUGUCACACCAGAUUAUUACUUAAUAGUCAAAACUUUCAACAACGGAUCUCUUGGUUCUCGCAUCGAUGAAGAACGCAGCGAAAUGCGAUACGUAAUAUGAAUUGCAGAUAUUCGUGAAUCAUCGAAUCUUUGAACGCACAUUGCGCCCUCUGGUAUUCCGGAGGGCAUGCCUGUUUGAGCGUCGUUUCUCCCUCAAACCGCUGGGUUUGGUGUUGAGCAAUACGACUUGGGUUUGCUUGAAAGACGGUAGUGGUAAGGCGGGAUCGCUUUGACAAUGGCUUAGGUCUAACCAAAAACAUUGCUUGCGGCGGUAACGUCUACCACGUAUAUCUUCAAACUUUGACCUCAAAUCAGGUAGGACUACCCGCUGAACUUAAGCAUAUCAAAAGCCGGGAGGAA
This 513-nucleotide ribosomal RNA is filed under the name Candida albicans. RNAcentral describes it as "eukaryotic LSU rRNA". The stretch from base 145 to 298 matches the Rfam family "5.8S ribosomal RNA". Lineage: Eukaryota; Fungi; Ascomycota; Pichiomycetes; Serinales; Debaryomycetaceae. The record is from RNAcentral.